UUGCUACCUGAUUCAGCGGCGGACGGGUGAGUAAUGCCUAGGAAUCUGCCCGAUAGUGGGGGACAACGUUUCGAAAGGAACGCUAAUACCGCAUACGUCCUACGGGAGAAAGUGGGGGAUCUUCGGACCUCACGCUAUCGGAUGAGCCUAGGUCGGAUUAGCUAGUUGGUGAGGUAAUGGCUCACCAAGGCGACGAUCCGUAACUGGUCUGAGAGGAUGAUCAGUCACACUGGAACUGAGACACGGUCCAGACUCCUACGGGAGGCAGCAGUGGGGAAUAUUGGACAAUGGGCGAAAGCCUGAUCCAGCCAUGCCGCGUGUGUGAAGAAGGUCUUCGGAUUGUAAAGCACUUUAAGUUGGGAGGAAGGGCAGUAAGCUAAUACCUUGCUGUUUUGACGUUACCAACAGAAUAAGCACCGGCUAACUCUGUGCCAGCAGCCGCGGUAAUACAGAGGGUGCAAGCGUUAAUCGGAAUUACUGGGCGUAAAGCGCGCGUAGGUGGUUCAGCAAGUUGGAUGUGAAAUCCCCGGGCUCAACCUGGGAACUGCAUCCAAAACUACUGAGCUAGAGUACGGUAGAGGGUGGUGGAAUUUCCUGUGU
RNAcentral lists this ribosomal RNA (600 nucleotides) under uncultured bacterium. Its description in RNAcentral is "bacterial SSU rRNA". It matches the Rfam family "Bacterial small subunit ribosomal RNA", at positions 80 to 676 of the family's 1533-position model. The record is from RNAcentral.